UGACAGGCCGGUGGGGCACGUGAUCGCCCCGCCUCUCGGACACAUGACGGCGUGGGGGGCGUUCUUGGUUUGUCUGUGGCGGGAGCGGGCCGGGGACGUCGAGCUGGCGCCGGAAUCGGGGACGGCGGAGCUAGGGGGCUUCGCGCCGGAGCCGGCCGCUGCACCGGGCCUAGAUCGGCCGGUCGGUCACUCGCUAACUGAAGAGCCCGCCUACUGGGCCUGCGUGGGGCAGCGUGGACGUGCGCCGCCAAGUGAGCCAGGGCGGUGGCCCGAACCUGGAGCCGCCGGUCCCGGAGGGCUGCCCGCGCGCCAGGGUGUGCAGCGGAGCAGAGCCGCUGUCUGUGGCCCGCUUCAGCCUAGGGCUGUGUGGCGGACCGCUUGGCUUUGCUUCCCGUACCGUGAAGACACAUCCGGAUUUUAUUUAUUUAUUUGACAGAGAGACAGCAAGAGAGAGAACACAAGCAGCGGAAGUGGGAGAGAGAGAAGCAGGCUUCCCGCGGAGCAGGGAUCCUGAUGCGAGGCUCGAUCCCAGGACCCUGGGACCAUGACCUGAGCCGAAGGCAGACGCUUAACCGACUGAGCCACCCAGGCGCCCCUUAACGUUACUACGUCUUUACAGCAGCAGUGAGUGGUCAGCAGUGCUCUUGAGGCCCAUAGACGGGGAGAGACUUUACUGAGGCGUCGCAGCCUGGAAGUGGAGGAGCCAGGGUUGAACCCAGGCAUCGGCCUAACCAGCCUGUAGACCGUCAACCAGAGCACAAGUAGGCAGAGCUGCAGGCAGAGGGAGAGGAAGAAGCAGGCUCCCCGCUGAGCAGAGGGCCCGAUGCGGGACUCGAUCCCAAGAGCCUGGGACCAUGACUGGAGCCAAAGGCAGAUGCUUAACCAACUGAGCCACCCAGGCGCCCCUUAAGAUGCAAUUUAAACAAGAUUUCUGGUGCUCCCUUUGGCAGCACGUAUACUAAACAAGACUUCUGCUCUUUGCUCUUCAACAAAGGAAACCCGUCUAUUUCAAAACAAAAUGGAACUGCCCCUUGGAGCUCUUACGUUCUCCUAGUAAGUUUCCUCCACAGACCUGGGAUCAGCACCGUCACCAUUACUAUUACUACUACUAAUACCAUUAGUAGGGCUGCCUGUGAUUGAUCACUCACUGUGCUGGUAGCUUUACCACUUGAUCUCAUUUACUCCUCACACAGCCCCAGGGGCAGGUAUGCUCAUUAGCCUCCUUUAAAGAAGGGGAACUUAGCACAGAGAGGUUAAGGGACUCACCCAAGGUCACACAGCCGGUGGUGACAGUGCCAGGAUCCUAUCAGAGCCAGGCCUUGCUCACCCCUCAGUGCAGGGCCAGCAAAGCAGCCCGAGCUCCUCCAAAACCGUCUUCAUCACAGAGAUGUGUCUUUUGACAAGCCAGGAGCUGAGGCUGCCGUAUGGAUGCAGAAAACUCCUUCUGGUCAAAAUGAGGAUGAACAAGAGGAGGGGCUAGUUGCCUUCUUAAGAAAAAAACAAAAACAACAAACCCCCAUGCAGUAAUGGCCAUGUUUAUUAAACACGUGGCUCUGUGUUCUAGGAUAGUGUUCUCCAAGUAUCACCAUAGAUCUCUAGCCCCCCAGGAGCUGAGCUUUGAUGUUCCCCCCUAAAAGAGCCCCAAAGCCAAGUAACUUGGGAAAUGUUGCACCUUCCCCUUCCUCCAAAGAUUCGAAGGACUUUAUAGAGGCUCUGAAAAGUCCUGUCAUGAAGAAACUGGUUAAGCUUUGUCUGACCCAGUGAUUCCUGAACUUAUUUGACCCCAGCCGCCCAUUUUUAAUACAAGACCCAUUGACAGGGACACCUGGUGGCUCAGUCGCUAGAGCAUGUGACUCUUGAUCCUACGGUCGUGAGUUCAAGCCCCACGUUGGGCAUGGGGCCUACUUUAAAAAGCAAACAAAAACAAAACAAAAAACCACUGACAGCCCCAGGCUGUGCACAGCUAUCUGUACCAGGCUGGACAGCAUGCUUCUAAGCACGGGGUCUGGCUUUUUCUUGUCUUCACUGUAGGUGAGGAAUGGAAGUGCGGGAGGUUCGAUGUUACCUGCGGGGUCCUCUACUCGCUCAACUUAGAAAAUAAAUACGAGGGGCGCCUGACUGGCUCAGUCAGUAAAGCAUGCGACUCUUGAUCUCAGUUUCAUGAGUCCAAGCCUCACAUUGAGUGUAGAGUUUACUUAAAAAUUAAAUCUUAAAAAAUAAACACUAGAGUGUUCAAUAUAGAGAAACACCAACUGAUAUCAAACUUAAAAAGGGUGGGUAACUCGGUUAAGCAUCUGCCUUCAGCUUGGGUCAUGAUACCGGGGUCCUGGGAUCGAGCCCCACGUCGGGCUCCCUGCUCAGCGGGGAGCCUGCUUCUCCCUCUCUUGCUCCCCCUGCUUGUGAGCUGUCUCUCUCUCUGUGUGUCAAAUAAAUAAAAUCUUUAAAAAAAACAAAAACAAAACUUUAAAGUGGCUGGCAGUGCCAGGAGAUCGUGAUAAAGAAAAUUAUAACAUUUUCUGAUAAACCAUUUUAUUUUAUGUCCUAUCCCUUUGAGGCUGAAGAAGGGCUUUGUCUUGUCAAUAAAAAUGUAGACGUGUUCCCCUACCCCCAUGGUGAAAGUGACCAUUGCACUGAAGGCAAACAAAGUCUUAACCUAACAGGAUGCUGUGUCCUGUGCUUUGCACCUCACCCAACCCAGGGCAUUCUGCUGGAAAUUUUGGGUUGUCUCUGUAAAAUGUUUACAUUAUAGGGUUCUUUUUCUUCCAAGUAAACACUUGUAUGCGUAACCUGAGCAGGUUUUUGGAUGGACGCGUGGUUGCUUUAGGCCAGCAAUAGGCUUCCCUCAGCAAGAAGGAAGGAAAUUCAGCCUCUGCCCAUCCCGCAGUCCUGGAAUGAAAGAUCUUAUGGAACUUUUUAAAAAGAUUUUAUUUAUUUGAGAGAGAGAGAGGGAGAGAGAGCAGAGAGCCUAAUGCAGGGCUCAAUCCCAGGACUGUGGGAUCAUGACCGAAGCCGAAGGCAGACACUCAAUCUACUGAGCUACCCAGAUGCCCCAGAUCUUAUGGAAUUAAAUGAAAUUGAAUAAAUAUCUACCAGAGCCUAUUCAGUUUCUGGCCCAGCACUGCCCUGCCUGGCAGGGAGGGAAAGUUGGCUAGGGCAGCAGGUAGAUGCAGAACCCUGGGCAGGUGGGGGUGUGGGGUUGGAGAGGACCAGGACCUGGAACCCUCGCCUUUGGGGAGCAUCACGGGCUGGGACCUGCAAUUACACCGACUAGCCACUAGGGGUCAGACCGCCUCUGGCUUGUACUCCGUCCCAGCAGCCUGACAGCAUCCCCUGUUUCUCAGGGAUCUCUGAGCACCCUCUGAGAUCACGGUUUGCACCAUGGUGCACAGGGGACUGAAAAAAUGAUAGAACAGGACCCAGCCCACGCCCUCCUGGUGGGUAAAAGUCUCUAGGCACGGGCAGUAUCUGAGUUUGAAUCCCCGUUCCGCCUCUUGUUACCAAUGAGACCUGAAGCAAUUACUUCUGCUCUGAACUUGCUACCUCCACAUCCUCAAACUGCAGUGGUAAUAACCUGCCUCACUAGUGCUGUGAACGUAGCCGUUCGGACAGGCCACUCCUCACAGUGGUGCCACCGCCCAGUCUUCCCAGGCCUGAGUCUCCGGCCACGGACUCGGGGGUGCGGGCAAGCCCACUGACUCCAUUUUCUGUAACAGCCUCAUUUCUGACCCAAGACCUCAUUCCCCGAUUCCAUGGGCACCAGUUUUGGAGUUCUGCCCCCUUCCUAAGUCAGGACUACUGCAGGGAUAGGGCCCUGUGGGGGAGCCUGCUGCCCUGGGUUAUCUGUCCACACUGAUCAUGGCAGCCCCCCUGGUCCCAGCCCUCCAGCCCCCCUGUGGGCCCCUUUGCCCAGCCUGCCUGGGGUCCUGUCACCUGGGUGCCAUACCUCUCUUGCUUUGCUCUCUGGGGACUGGAGGCAGCAGGCCCAGAACCCCCUCACCUGCCUCUCCUCGCCCCAGACCAGGGGAGUCUCCCUGCGGUCCAAGAUGCUUUGUCGACCCUGCUUCUCCAGGACACCUUGCCCACAAGGGAGCCAUUACUUCAGCCAUCCCUCCUCCCUUCCCCUUUGUUCUCCUAAGGGCUUGGGCUUUUGGGAAAAAACAAAGUCCAAAAGACCCAUAGGCAACUUCCGCUUCAGUCCUGGAGAAACGGGCCCCGCGACCAGCUGCUCCUUGAAUGCAGAGAAGGAAAGGCAAGAUGGGGUGGGGAAGCAGAUUUCAAUAUAGGCAGUCCCUGCUCUGCACGGUUUCAAUAUGCACAUAUUUUUGUUACCACGGUAUAGUAAAAUAACAGCAGUCCCCCAGCCGCACAGUUCCAGUACCUGUCACCCUGUGUAUUAACUGAGUAAUUGCACCAGGUACAGACUGUGGUGAGCUCUCCAGCCUGCAAAUCACUACCUACAUCACAGUCGUGUGUCAUCAUCAGUGACCAUCUGGCGCUUCUUUCAAAGUCCGUGGGUCACCAGUCACCGCGCACGUUACUCAGUUCCCGCGCAGCCGGCAGUCGGUAGCUGCGCCGCCUUCCGUGAUGAAUACACUUGCCAUUUUGCAAAAGUGCAUCUGUGAAGCCGGGACUUGGCCAGCAAAGAUGAGAGCGGCGAGGAGCAGGAAGUGUUAACCCUGGAGGUCACGCAUGGAUGCACCAGCAGUGGGGUCCCAGAGGAAAGCGCUGCAGAGGGGCAGGGACGCCAGCAGCUGGAGGAGCCUGGCGAGGCCGAAUCUGGAAGGACCAUGUCCCGAGGCUGAAAUCUACCACCUUAACCACUUCCAAGUGGCUGGUUCUGUGGCAUCGUGUACAUUCACACUGUCGAACAAACAGGGACUGCUCCACAAACUUGUGCAUCCACGUUGUGCAGACUCACGCUCAUCUCCUCUGGGUCGUUCCAAUUUUAGCAUCUGUGCUGCUUUCGAACAAAGAAAUAAGCACUAUCACUCUCAAUGUUUCUGAUAUUUUAAGAUAGAGUGUUCUACAUAAAUAUUCAUUUUA
Long non-coding RNA from Mirounga angustirostris (Northern elephant seal), 5043 nucleotides. RefSeq lists it as uncharacterized. The record is from RefSeq and is a predicted model, not a curated record. NCBI's taxonomy places the organism in Eukaryota, Metazoa, Chordata, Mammalia, Carnivora, Phocidae. The transcript is spliced from 3 exons.